AAGGAUGGUGACACAACUGCAGUUCCAAGGAGAAAUAAUUCUGAUUUGCCUCUUCGUACUUUGCCACAAGAUCUGAGUUCAUAGGACCAAGGACAACCAAGAUAAUACAAAGACAUGAGGACAUGCCCCACGAGGAUAGGCUGAAGGAACUUGGGAUAUUCAGUCUGGAGAAAAGACUAAGGGGAGACAUGAUAGCCGUGGUCAGGUAAAAAAAUGGAAGCUACAGGGAAGUGGUCAAGAACUAUUUGCCAUGGCCACAGAAACUAGGGCCAGAAAUAAAGGGUAUAAGUUUCAUGUAUCUAGAUUUUGUUUAAAUAUGAGAUGAAUUUCCAGACGGUAAGAUCUGUCUAGUGGUGGAACAGUCUACCUCUGGAAAUUGUGGGUUCUCCAUUUCUGGAGAUUUUAAAGAAGAGGCUGGACAGCCACUUCUCAUGGAUGGUUUGAUUAGUUUUCCUUCAUAUUACUGAGAGUUGGACUCCAAUUCCCCAAUUUUAUGAUUCUAAGCCUUAUUGCUGGAGUUAAUAUUUGUAAACAUUGUUUUCUACCUUUUCCACAAAACAUCCAUGUGAAUUUUGUGGGGGUGAUAUUUUUUCUUGGUUUUUUUUUUCUUGUUUUGCAUUUUUGGAUUUUUGAAUGGUGGGGGUGCUUCAGAUUUGUUGCCACUAGUGAUAGCCUUGAUUUUUGACAGACUUCGAAAAGUACUACAGCAUAUUGCUAAUAGAAAGCUAUAAGAGAGACAUUAUGUGUCAGCUGUCGGGCACUGGAAAUAUGAAUUGCAUGCCUGCCAUCUAUCUCUGCCUUAUAUCAGCAGGUAGGCCAAAGAUCAGUAGUCUGAUCAAGAAUCUUAUUGGGAAAUCUCUGGAUGACUAAAAAUGGUGUCAAAAGGCUUCUGACCUUAAUGUUCUUUACUUAUAAAAUUCUUUAGAAAGGACAGGCUGCCACCUUCUGGUUGGAAAGGGGAAAGCACAUUACAUGUAUCUGAGACACUUUUAUUUUAUUCUUACUGGCUAGUAGAAACAAUAUUUGACUAUUAAGCCCCAAUAUAAUUUGUUGGCCACUGAUCUUCCAUUUAAUCCAUUAGACUGCUAGUGUGAUUCUUUUGCACGCACGCGCACACACACCAGGCCUGAAUUGUGAGCCACAUGUUGUCUUUACAUUGGUAUAUAAUUAAUAUGAUGGAACAUUUCCAACCAAAUUCAACUCUUCUCACUUACCAUUUCCAAUCUAUAAUGUGCAUUUAUCAAGCAGGGGAAAGUCUAUUGUCUAGAGCUGAGCUGAAAAACAUUCACUAUGAUGGCAGAACAUUGUUCUUGGAUUCCUUUUCCAAAGAGAAAAAAUAUAUACUUUCAGUAAAAAUCUCAUGGUGCAGUUUCUGCAUUAUCUUAAUUACAAGGUGGGUCAAGGUGAGUAUUUCAUCUUUCGUUAUCUAGCCAUCCCUCCAGAGGUCUGCAGCCUCCCUGGCUUACUGUAUUCAGUUCAGUCCCAGAAGAAGACAUCAGGAGGAAGGAGCAUCCAGGGAAGCUCUGAGUGUCAGAGAGUGAAUACUAGAAACAGCAACAGCAGCUUAAGAAUAAAGGAAGCACCCUACAAAUGAGACAGAAAAACAGAAGCCUUUUUUUGCAGGAGGAGAAACUGGUGGGGAACUGGGAGAACUAAUUUCAACACCAAUGCUCAUUUCCAGUCAUUCAGAUUGCAUCUCACUUCUUUCUAGGUUUCAUCAUUUAGGGAUGAGUGCUGGGACUUCAUGUGUGUUACUGAUAUCAAUCAUAUCUGCACCUGUCGACCGCCUCUGCCUAAUUGGAUUAUACCUGUGAUCUGUGUUGUUCCGCUGGCUAUCAUUCUCAGCUGUUUGAUCAAGCUGUGCGUCUGCUACUGCAAGGAGAAGCAGGCAACCAGCCGUUCAGAGGAGUCAGCUGGGACUCAGUCCAGCCCACCUCCGUUCUUCGUAUCUGCAGUGAUCUCAGCUCCAUCGGAUCACGAAUUCAGGGCGCCCCCUCCUUAUAGUGAGAUUGCAUGGAAACCAUAUUGCUACCCACCUCCUAUGGAUGACCCACCUGCCUAUGACAAUAUUGCCAUGGAUAGCUUCUCCCCUCCAGAUGUCUCCAUACCUUCUGGAUUAGUGCCUAAGAGUAACUCAACAGCCUGAAGUUUCUGCUGUUGUUAUCCUGGAAUGCUCAGAAGUUUAACAGUUUUGACGGAUCAGGUGACAGUUCAAGUAUCUUCUCAAUAAUGUUUUUGUGAUGCUUACAUGCAAGACGUGAUCGUUCCUGCCCUUCCUCCAUUCCCCCAUAUCAGGUCAUGUCUGUGAGCAGAGAAUGUGUUAGACACAGCCAAAUCUACAUGAGUUCAUAUCCCAAACUGAGUUUUCUUGUGACUUACUCUUAUGCUAAAGGGGUACUACAGGAAUCCCUUGGAAGGCUUUGGUCAUCCAAGUUAUUGACGGGCAAAUCUGAAUUUCCCUCCUGGACACUGCCCUCCCUCUUCUUUGAAAUUUCUUUGCUUAAAGACAGUUGGUUUUGCACCUUGGUCUAGUAUCUUCUAAGAUAGGUCUCACUCUUCUGUUUAAUAAGCAGCCCAAAGAGUUUCCAAUUAUUCCUGGCUUAAUUCUUUAAUAAAAACAUUUCUGUGGAAGUUGGAGUCAUUUUAGGCUUUUUGUUUAGCUUGGAGUGUGGCUUCACACAUCUGCCAGAACUCUUGGGCAUAGAUGCUUCCCUGGGUUUGAAGGAGAUUAAGGAAAAGUUUUGGAAAUGCUGGGAGGCUCUUCUUUUCCACAGGUGAAAUUAUAAAGCAAGAUUUUCAUAUUUUUUAUCUGAAAGUUAUUAAAUUACACAAGGGUGGUUGCUGUAUCUACUUCUGAGGCUGAUUUAAUUUAAUUUAUUUGAUUUAGGUGCCACCCGAGUCCUAAAUUCUGGGAGGCUCACAAUAUAAUAAAAAG
This is an RNA transcript of Python bivittatus (Burmese python), 2935 nucleotides long. It is a transcript of the gene named transmembrane protein 92, with no coding region annotated. NCBI's taxonomy places the organism in Eukaryota, Metazoa, Chordata, Lepidosauria, Squamata, Pythonidae. The record is from RefSeq and is a predicted model, not a curated record.